AUACGGAGGGGGUUAGCGUUGUUCGGAAUUACUGGGCGUAAAGCGCACGUAGGCGGAUUGGAAAGUUGGGGGUGAAAUCCCAGGGCUCAACCCUGGAACUGCCUCCAAAACUAACAGUCUAGAGUUCGAGAGAGGUGAGUGGAAUUCCAAGUGUAGAGGUGAGAUCCGUAGAUAUUUGGAGGAACACCAGUGGCGAAGGCGGCUCACUGGCUCGAUACUGACGCUGAGGUGCGAAAGCGUGGGGAGCAAACAGGAUUAGAUACCCUAGUAGUCC
This 274-nucleotide ribosomal RNA is filed under the name uncultured bacterium. RNAcentral describes it as "partial 16S ribosomal RNA". It matches the Rfam family "Bacterial small subunit ribosomal RNA", at positions 523 to 796 of the family's 1533-position model. The record is from RNAcentral.